AGAUAAUAGAUACCCCGGUAGUCCACGCCCUAAACGAUGUCGACUGGUUGUUGGGGGUCUGACACUCUCAGUAAACGAAAGCUAAACGCGUGAAGUCGACCGCCUGGGGAGUACGGCCGCAAGGUUAAAACUCAAAGGAAUUGACGGGGACCCGCACAAGCGGUGGAUUAUGUGGAUUAAUUCGAUGCAACGCGAAAAACCUUACCUACCCUUGACAUGUCCGGAAGGCUGCUGAAAGGCGGCUGUGCCCGAAAGGGAACUGGAACACAGGUGCUGCAUGGCUGUCGUCAGCUCGUGUCGUGAGAUGUUGGGUUAAGUCCCGCAACGAGCGCAACCCUUGUCAUUAGUUGCUACCCGCAAGGGAGCACUCUAAUGAGACUGCCGGUGACAAACCGGAGGAAGGUGGGGAUGACGUCAAGUCCUCAUGGCCCUUAUGGGUAGGGCUUCACACGUAAUACAAUGGCGCGUACAGAGGGUUGCCAAGGAGCGAUCUGGAGCCAAUCCCGUAAAGCGCGUCGUAGUCCGGAUUGCAGUCUGCAACUCG
Molecule: ribosomal RNA, 544 nt
Filed under: uncultured bacterium
Lineage: Bacteria
Description: bacterial SSU rRNA
Rfam family: Bacterial small subunit ribosomal RNA
Source: RNAcentral